Esox lucius (northern pike) is the source of this 1576-nucleotide long non-coding RNA. The record is from Ensembl. NCBI's taxonomy places the organism in Eukaryota, Metazoa, Chordata, Actinopteri, Esociformes, Esocidae.
CCGAAAUCACAUAACCCAUGUCUUUUGGGAUUUAUCGUUUCCGUUUCCAAGUGGUUUAGAAGGUUUUCUUGUGCGUGCCCUGAAUGCUGUGUCGUGGCUCCAGGGUGGUGGCGACCGAACUGGGUUGUGAGGGUUGCCGGGUACUUGCAGAGGGCCUGAAAGACAACAAAACAGUGGUUGACCUCAGGAUGGCCAUCAAUCACAUUGGUGACGUCGGUGUGGGCUGUCUCGCCGAUCUGUUGCAGACCAAUCGCACACUUAAAGAUAUCAGGCUCCGGGACAACCAGGUCACUGAUAAGGGAGCAGAAAUCCUCAUGAAAGCAUUAAAUGAGAAUACAACUCUGGAGCAACUCUGGUUGUUUGACAACAAGUUUUCUAAGGAGGGAGUCAAGAGGCUAAAGGAGUUUGCGAAGGGCAGGUCACAACUGGACAUCAAAGUUUGUGUCUGAAAUCCUGUGCUUCCCCACUGCUUAACAUCGACCCUUCUACUGAACAUAGACCCCACUGUUGAAUAUGGACCCCGCUGCUGAACAUAGACCCCACUGCUGAACAUAGACCCUGCUGCUGAACAUAGACCCCGCUGCUGAACAUAGAUCUUUAUACUGAACAUAGACCCUUCCACUGAACAUAGACCCCAUUGCUGAAAAUAUAUAAUCUCGCUACUUUACAUUGACUCCAAGGGCUUUACCAGGGGUUGAUAAUGCGGUUGUUGAUCAUUUGUGUGUAAAGGGGAUUUUUAGAUGAAUAACAAAGAACAGUUGUUGAUUAAUAGUCAGUCUAAAGCCCUUCUGGGUUAAUACAAGUUCAAGCAGGCAGACCGCCUACAGCAUGGGGUUAUAGAAACAUUUCCAACAAGACUUCUAUGAGUCCACCUUGAUAUUCUUAUCAGGUUAUGUUCUGUUGACACAUGACAGAGGCUGUAACACCAGUGAGUCAAUCAUGCAUACUCACACAAUACAAUAAUAAUCAGUAUGCGUUUUUGAAAUAACACCUUAACACCAGCGCAAAAACCAUCAGCAGAUUUGUCCAGGUGAACAGUCUAGUCCUGGUGAUAGUACUCUAGUGGCUGCUAAACUUCAUGUUAUAUUUUACAGAGAGAAACUGAAAAAUUCAAUGCCAAUCACCGAAUGUGAAUAUCUUGAUAUCAACUUAAUGUAUCUUGUUCCAUUACUUUAUCAUUGGGGUUUUUUGCACACAUUGUUUGAAAGAUUUUGUCACCAUUCAGAUAUUUUUUCAACAGCUGAAAGAUUACAUUUUCUGUUCUGGUAAUAGGUCAAAUAAUAAAUUUGUCUCCAUAAAUGUUUUCCAGUAGUUUGUAUUCCUUUUUUUAAACACCUACCAAUGUAGAACGGUUUUGGUUAUAUAUAACCCUAAUGAAAUGUUUAAGUCAGCACUUCCAGGGCUGGUCCAGCAGAAGGCGUUAUAGACCCGCCCCGGCGUUACCUACAACUCGGAAGUCUACCAGACUGGCGCGGACUGGAAUCAUUUUGCGGUCCAGUUGAUCAUGUUCCCUCUUACAAGGUCGGGCAUUAAUGGUUGACCGUUCACUGAUUGAUUCACUUGUACUAUAUUUCAC